GGAGCAUGUGGUUUAAUUCGAUGCAACGCGAAGAACCUUACCUACUCUUGACAUCCAGAGAACUUUCCAGAGAUGGAUUGGUGCCUUCGGGAACUCUGAGACAGGUGCUGCAUGGCUGUCGUCAGCUCGUGUUGUGAAAUGUUGGGUUAAGUCCCGCAACGAGCGCAACCCUUAUCCUUGUUUGCCAGCGAGUAAUGUCGGGAACUCCAGGGAGACUGCCGGUGAUAAACCGGAGGAAGG
This 240-nucleotide ribosomal RNA is filed under the name Vibrio parahaemolyticus. Its description in RNAcentral is "partial 16S ribosomal RNA". It matches the Rfam family "Bacterial small subunit ribosomal RNA", at positions 934 to 1173 of the family's 1533-position model. Lineage: Bacteria; Pseudomonadati; Pseudomonadota; Gammaproteobacteria; Vibrionales; Vibrionaceae. The record is from RNAcentral.